This 506-nucleotide ribosomal RNA is filed under the name uncultured bacterium. Its description in RNAcentral is "bacterial SSU rRNA". It matches the Rfam family "Bacterial small subunit ribosomal RNA", at positions 20 to 518 of the family's 1533-position model. The record is from RNAcentral.
UGGCUCAGGAUGAACGCUAGCGACAGGCUUAACACAUGCAAGUCGAGGGGCAGCAUAGAAGUAGCAAUACUUGGUGGCGACCGGCGCACGGGUGAGUAACGCGUAUGCAACCUACCUAUCAGAGGGGAAUAACCCGGCGAAAGUCGGGCUAAUACCGCAUAAAACAGGGGCACCGCAUGGUGAUAUUUGUUAAAGAAAUUCGCUGAUAGAUGGGCAUGCGUUCCAUUAGGUAGUUGGUGAGGUAACGGCUCACCAAGCCGACGAUGGAUAGGGGAACUGAGAGGUUGGUCCCCCACACUGGUACUGAGACACGGACCAGACUCCUACGGGAGGCAGCAGUGAGGAAUAUUGGUCAAUGGGCGGGAGCCUGAACCAGCCAAGUCGCCGUGAAGGAAGAAGGAUCUAUGGUUCGUAAACUUCUUUUGCAGGGGAAUAAAGUGCAGGACGUGCCCUGUUUUGUAUGUACCCUGAGAAUAAGGAUCGGCUAACUCCGUGCCAGCCGCCGC